RNAcentral lists this ribosomal RNA (1039 nucleotides) under uncultured bacterium. RNAcentral's name for it is "bacterial SSU rRNA". It matches the Rfam family "Bacterial small subunit ribosomal RNA", at positions 56 to 1105 of the family's 1533-position model. The record is from RNAcentral.
UGCAGUCGAGGGGUAUAUACUUUCGGGUAUAGAGACCGGCGCACGGGUGCGUAACGCGUAUGCAAUCUACCUUUUACAGGGGAAUAGCCCAGAGAAAUUUGGAUUAAUGCCCCAUAGUAUUAUUUGAUGGCAUCGUUAGAUAAUUAAAGUCACAACGGUAAAAGAUGAGCAUGCGUCCCAUUAGUUAGUUGGUAAGGUAACGGCUUACCAAGACUAUGAUGGGUAGGGGUCCUGAGAGGGAGAUCCCCCACACUGGUACUGAGACACGGACCAGACUCCUACGGGAGGCAGCAGUGAGGAAUAUUGGACAAUGGGCGCAAGCCUGAUCCAGCCAUGCCGCGUGCAGGAAGACGCAUCUAUGGUGUGUAAACUGCUUUUGUACAGGAAGAAACACUCCCUCGUGAGGGAGCUUGACGGUACUGUAAGAAUAAGGAUCGGCUAACUCCGUGCCAGCAGCCGCGGUAAUACGGAGGAUCCAAGCGUUAUCCGGAAUCAUUGGGUUUAAAGGGUCCGUAGGCGGUUUAAUAAGUCAGUGGUGAAAUCUGGUCGCUCAACGAUCAAACGGCCAUUGAUACUGUUAGACUUGAAUUAUAAGGAAGUAACUAGAAUAUGUAGUGUAGCGGUGAAAUGCUUAGAUAUUACAUGGAAUACCAAUUGCGAAGGCAGGUUACUACUUAUGGAUUGACGCUGAUGGACGAAAGCGUGGGGAGCGAACAGGAUUAGAUACCCUGGUAGUCCACGCCGUAAACGAUGGAUACUAGCUGUUGGGCGCAAGUUCAGUGGCUAAGCGAAAGUGAUAAGUAUCCCACCUGGGAAGUACGUUCGCAAGAAUGAAACUCAAAGGAAUUGACGGGGGCCCGCACAAGCGGUGGAGCAUGUGGUUUAAUUCGACGAUACGCGAGGAACCUUACCAAGGCUUAAAUGUAGAUUGACCGGUUUGGAAACAGAUCUUUCGCAAGACAAUUUACAAGGUGCUGCAUGGUUGUCGUCAGCUCGUGCCGUGAGGUGUCAGGUUAAGUCCUAUAACGAGCGCAACCCC